AGUGAACGCUGGCGGUAGGCCUAACACAUGCAAGUCGAACGGCAGCACAGUAAGAGCUUGCUCUUACGGGUGGCGAGUGGCGGACGGGUGAGGAAUACAUCGGAAUCUACUUUUUCGUGGGGGAUAACGUAUGGAAACUUACGCUAAUACCGCAUACGACCUACGGGUGAAAGCAGGGGAUCUUCGUACCUUGCGCGAUUGAAUGAGCCGAUGUCGGAUUAGCUAGUUGGCGGGGUAAAGGCCCACCAAGGCGACGAUCCGUAGCUGGUCUGAGAGGAUGAUCAGCCACACUGGAACUGAGACACGGUCCAGACUCCUACGGGAGGCAGCAGUGGGGAAUAUUGGACAAUGGGCGAAAGCCUGAUCCAGCCAUACCGCGUGGGUGAAGAAGGCCUUCGGGUUGUAAAGCCCUUUUGUUGGGAAAGAAAAGCAGCAGGUUAAUACCCCGCUGUUCUGACGGUACCCAAAGAAUAAGCACCGGCUAACUUCGUG
This 492-nucleotide ribosomal RNA is filed under the name uncultured bacterium. Its description in RNAcentral is "partial 16S ribosomal RNA". It matches the Rfam family "Bacterial small subunit ribosomal RNA", at positions 29 to 507 of the family's 1533-position model. The record is from RNAcentral.